CCCUUAGAUGUUCUGGGCCGCACGCGUGCUACACUGAGUGGAUCAGCGGGUCAGGUUACGCGAGAGCGUUUCCUAAUCUUCAAAUCCGCUCGUGAUGGGGAUUGACGGUUGCAAUUUUCCGUCAUGAACGAGGAAUACCUUGUAAGCGCGGGUCAUCAUCCCGCGCUGAAUACGUCCCUGCCCUUUGUACACACCGCCCGUCGCUCCUACCGAUUGAGUGGUCCGGUGAGGCUUUGGGAUCUAAGCGAAAAGAGCGUUUCGCUCCUUUUGCUGGGAGAAGUCAGUCGAACCUUAUCAUUUAGAGGAAGGAGAAGUCGUAACA
RNAcentral lists this ribosomal RNA (322 nucleotides) under uncultured eukaryote. RNAcentral's name for it is "partial 18S ribosomal RNA". It matches the Rfam family "Eukaryotic small subunit ribosomal RNA", at positions 1470 to 1796 of the family's 1831-position model. The record is from RNAcentral.